Molecule: ribosomal RNA, 468 nt
Filed under: uncultured bacterium
Lineage: Bacteria
Description: partial 16S ribosomal RNA
Rfam family: Bacterial small subunit ribosomal RNA
Source: RNAcentral
GACGAACGCUGGCGGCGUGCUUAACACAUGCAAGUCGAACGGAAAGGCCCUGCUUUUGUGGGGUGCUCGAGUGGCGAACGGGUGAGUAACACGUGAGUAACCUGCCCUUGACUUUGGGAUAACUUCAGGAAACUGGGGCUAAUACCGGAUAGGAGCUCCUGCUGCAUGGUGGGGGUUGGAAAGUUUCGGCGGUUGGGGAUGGACUCGCUGGUUAUCAGAUUGUUGGUGGGGUAGUGGCUUACCAAGGCUUUGACGGUUAGCCGGCCUGAGAGGGUGACCGGCGAAAUGGGGACUGAGAGACGGACCAGAAUGCAACGGGAGGAAGGAGUGGGGAAUAUUGAACAAUGGGCGGAAGCAUGAUGAAGAAAAGCAGCGUGCGGGAUGACGGCCUUCGGGUUGUAAAAAGAUUUGGACUGUGACGAAGCGUGAGUGACGGUAAUGGGUAAAGAAGCACCGGCUAACUACGUG